Pseudonaja textilis is the source of this 104-nucleotide small nuclear RNA. The record is from Ensembl. NCBI's taxonomy places the organism in Eukaryota, Metazoa, Chordata, Lepidosauria, Squamata, Elapidae.
ACCCUUCUCAGCAGCACAUAUACUAAAAUUGGAACGAUACAGAGAAGAUUAGCAUGGUCCCUGUACAAGGAGGAUAGUGUUUUUCUGAAACCAAAUUCUUUAUU